UUAUAUGUUAGGAUAGUGUGGAUACAAAGACGGCUAUCUUUGGAAUCGUCUUCAUAUGUAUGGCUUUCCAAUUCCCACGCCCUAGCCCCUCUCUUUCCCUCUCACUCACAUUUCACUCUCUAAUUUUCUUUUUUCACUCACUCACCACUGUUGUAUUUUCCCUCUCCACUCCUCACCCACAGCCGCCCCGUAAUAGUCACUCGUCGGCACCACCACGUUGCGUCGGCGCUCCGAGCCACUUCUUCGACGUUUAGCAACGCCAUUCUGCACCCACCGCCGUGACCUGGAUUGCGUAACCAACGCCAUUCCACGGUGACUGUCGCGCCCAGGAUUGCCGCAACCAACGACACGGACACCGCCCAAUCUCAACUCUGAAGCUCCGCGAGCUAGUGCCACCUCUAGCCAGCGCCACCGUGACGCGUCCACCAACGUCACCCUCUUCCUUCAACGCGAUCAACUGUCGUCUUCUCCAUGAGCCCGUGCAUGCCACCGUGUCGUGCCUCCAACUUUCUAUUUUCGCCUCCAUAAACCAUUCCGCACCUACGUGAACCCUAAUUUAUUUUAAAAAAAGACGAUAUACAAAAACAUUCCUCCUGGAACCGUAUUUGUAUCCCCUUCACUUACAAAAAUGGUUAAUAGCCGUCGUUAAUGUACUUGUUUGUACUAGUGUCCCAUACAUUUUCAAAUCAAUUUAACUUCUUCAUUUCGAG
RNAcentral lists this long non-coding RNA (710 nucleotides) under Phaseolus vulgaris (common bean). Its description in RNAcentral is "long non-coding RNA (PVUL_LNC003298)". The record is from RNAcentral. Lineage: Eukaryota; Viridiplantae; Streptophyta; Magnoliopsida; Fabales; Fabaceae.